UGCCUAUGCACGUCUGUGUGCUGGAAAU
Molecule: non-coding RNA, 28 nt
Filed under: Rattus norvegicus (Norway rat)
Lineage: Eukaryota; Metazoa; Chordata; Mammalia; Rodentia; Muridae
Source: RNAcentral